AUCAUCAUCCCAUUUUCUACAGGGAGAAGGUGAGACUUCGGGUGAAGAGGUGGCUCGCCCAGAGGCACAGUCAACAGAUGAUGAAGCCAGGACAGGAACCUGCAAUCUGGCUCCUGCUAGUAGGAAUUUACCCUACGGAUACUUGCGGUGGAAUCACAAGAGGUAUGUCCAGGGAUGCUCAUCAUAGCAUCAUCUGCGAUGGCAAAAAUGCUGAAGACGACCUAUUAAGUCCAUACACAGGGCAGUGGUUAAAACAUGGAACUUUGUGCACUAGAAAUCUCUGCAGAUAGUCGACAGAAGGAAUCAGAUGUAAAUGUGCUGAUACAAAAAGAUAACCUUUUAGUUAGGAAAGUGUGCUAGUCUUAAGUACACAGCUUGAGUAAUUUUUCCAUGUGUCUACACCCGUGUAACCAUCAAGAUCGAGAUGGAACAUUCCCGUCACUUGAGAGGGCUCCCUGUGCUCUUUAGAAUCAGUCACGCCCUCUCCCCACACAAAGGAACCAUUCUUCUGACUUUGGGGGCUGUUGAGUAGUUCUGCCUGUUCUUGAACUUCACAGAAAAGGAAUCACAUGGUGUGCGUUCUCUUAUACUUGGCUUCUUUCACUUAGCAUAAUGUUCUUGAAAUUCAUCCAUGUUAUGUAUACAUGAGUGCUUUGUUCCUUUUCAUUGCUAUGUAACAUUCUAUUAUAGGUUAUAACACAAUUUGUUAUUCAUUUACAUAUGGGACAUUUGGGUUGUUUCUACUUUUUGACUAAUAUAGUAAAGCUGCUCUGAACAUUCUUG
This 783-nucleotide long non-coding RNA is filed under the name Homo sapiens (human). Its description in RNAcentral is "HSALNT0269445". Lineage: Eukaryota; Metazoa; Chordata; Mammalia; Primates; Hominidae. The record is from RNAcentral.